UCGUCUAAGUCUGCAACAUUGAAUGAAAGCGACCUUCGGGAGCAACUAGCAGCUGAAGCUAGAGCUGCUGUACAGGGUGAACUCGAUGCUCUCAAGAAGAAAAGUGAAGAAGCUGAUGAAAAGCUCGAGAGGCAACAAAAGGAGAUGGAGGAGAUGAGAGAGUAGACAGAGAAAAACCACAAGGAAAUGCAGGAGAACAAUGUGCUGCUCAGGCGUCUGUUGUCCCUCAACAACGCUUCGACAUGAACCGUUGCUGAUGUUGUGUGCUACCAAGGAGUAUGUGUUGCUGCUGCUGGUGCUUGGCAAGGGGUCAAAGUUGUUGGUUGAUUUUGCUUAGGCUAAAACCUAUGAUGUUGAUGCUUGGCAUCUUUAUAUUAUUAGUUGUGUUGUUGAUGUGAACUGAGAUCAAAGUAGAACCUGGAAUGUGAUGUCAAUAGUAAUACAUGAAUUGAGUUUAGUAGUGUUGAGUCAGUUUUAUGUUGACUGGAAUGCUGGAUCUGUUGAAGCAUUUGGUCAUUUUAAUAUUAUUUGCAUUUUGUAAAAAUAUUAGCAUUUGCACCUGUGAUGAAAAUUCUGGGUUAU
This 582-nucleotide long non-coding RNA is filed under the name Sorghum bicolor (sorghum). RNAcentral's name for it is "long non-coding RNA (SBIC_LNC003147)". Lineage: Eukaryota; Viridiplantae; Streptophyta; Magnoliopsida; Poales; Poaceae. The record is from RNAcentral.